Molecule: long non-coding RNA, 177 nt
Organism: Sphaeramia orbicularis (orbiculate cardinalfish)
Lineage: Eukaryota; Metazoa; Chordata; Actinopteri; Kurtiformes; Apogonidae
Exons: 2
Source: RefSeq, a predicted model, not a curated record
CUCCAAUCAUUAUCUGAUCUCUGGAGUUUUCAGAUUAUUCAAGUGAUCAUAUAACAGCAGUAAUCUGAUUAUGAGAAAUCAGAUUAACACACCUGGAUUUCUCUCCAAGACUCCGAUGUCUUCCUGUAUGUAUGCAGGUUAAUCUGAUUUAUUUUGUUCCUUUACGUCUGGGCAUGU